AGAUAUCAGGAGGAACACCGAUGGCGAAGGCAGAUCUCUGGGCCGUGACUGACGCUGAGGAGCGAAAGGGUGGGGAGCAAACAGGCUUAGAUACCCUGGUAGUCCACCCCGUAAACGUUGGGAACUAGUUGUGGGGGCCUUUCCACGGUCUCCGUGACGCAGCUAACGCAUUAAGUUCCCCGCCUGGGGAGUACGGCCGCAAGGCUAAAACUCAAAGGAAUUGACGGGGACCCGCACAAGCGGCGGAGCAUGCGGAUUAAUUCGAUGCAACGCGAAGAACCUUACCAAGGCUUGACAUACACCGGAAACGUCCAGAGAUGGUCGCCCCUUUUUGGUCGGUGUACAGGUGGUGCAUGGUUGUCGUCAGCUCGUGUCGUGAGAUGUUGGGUUAAGUCCCGCAACGAGCGCAACCCUCGUUCUAUGUUGCCAGCACGUUAUGGUGGGAACUCAUGGGAUACUGCCGGGGUCAACUCGGAGGAAGGUGGGGAUGACGUCAAAUCAUCAUGCCCCUUAUGUCUUGGGCUUCACGCAUGCUACAAUGGCCGGUACAAUGGGCUGCGAUACCGUGAGGUGGAGCGAAUCCCAAAAAGCCGGUCCCAGUUCGGAUCGUAGUCUGCAACUCGACUACGUGAAGUCGGAGUCGCUAGUAAUCGCAGAUCAGCAACGCUGCGGUGAAUACGUUCCCGGGUCUUGUACACAC
Molecule: ribosomal RNA, 700 nt
Filed under: uncultured bacterium
Lineage: Bacteria
Description: bacterial SSU rRNA
Rfam family: Bacterial small subunit ribosomal RNA
Source: RNAcentral